ACGGAGGGUGCAAGCGUUAUCCGGAAUCAUUGGGUUUAAAGGGUCCGUAGGCGGUCUUAUAAGUCAGUGGUGAAAUCCCAUCGCUCAACGAUGGAACUGCCAUUGAUACUGUAAGACUUGAAUACUUAGGAAGUAACUAGAAUAUGUAGUGUAGCGGUGAAAUGCUUAGAUAUUACAUGGAAUACCAAUUGCGAAGGCAGGUUACUACUAAUGGAUUGACGCUGAUGGACGAAAGCGUGGGUAGCGAACAGGAUUAGAUACCCUGGUAGUCCACGCCGUAAACGAUGGAUACUAGCUGUUGGGAGCAAUCUCAGUGGCUAAGCGAAAGUGAUAAGUAUCCCACCUGGGGAGUACGUUCGCAAGAAUG
Molecule: ribosomal RNA, 367 nt
Filed under: uncultured bacterium
Lineage: Bacteria
Description: bacterial SSU rRNA
Rfam family: Bacterial small subunit ribosomal RNA
Source: RNAcentral